GCCCUGUGGCAUGGUGGUUAAGCCCUUGGCUGCUAACCAAAAGGUCGAUGGUUUGAACCCACCCAGUGGCU
This 71-nucleotide transfer RNA is filed under the name Loxodonta africana (African savanna elephant). It matches the Rfam family "tRNA". Rfam says of the family: Transfer RNA (tRNA) molecules are approximately 80 nucleotides in length. Their secondary structure includes four short double-helical elements and three loops (D, anti-codon, and T loops). Further hydrogen bonds mediate the characteristic L-shaped molecular structure. tRNAs have two regions of fundamental functional importance: the anti-codon, which is responsible for specific mRNA codon recognition, and the 3' end, to which the tRNAs corresponding amino acid is attached (by aminoacyl-tRNA synthetases). tRNAs cope with the degeneracy of the genetic code in two manners: having more than one tRNA (with a specific anti-codon) for a particular amino acid; and 'wobble' base-pairing, i.e. permitting non-standard base-pairing at the 3rd anti-codon position. The record is from Rfam by way of RNAcentral. Lineage: Eukaryota; Metazoa; Chordata; Mammalia; Proboscidea; Elephantidae.